Molecule: long non-coding RNA, 91 nt
Organism: Gavialis gangeticus (Gharial)
Lineage: Eukaryota; Metazoa; Chordata; Crocodylia; Gavialidae
Exons: 3
Source: RefSeq, a predicted model, not a curated record
UUUAUCAUGGUGGGAACCAGGGUUUUGGAAACCAAUGAUUGGUGGGACAUAAGGGACAAAAGGUUGAGAACCACUGCUAUAGAGGAAACAU